GAUGAAGAACGCAGCAAAAUGCGAUAAGUAAUGUGAAUUGCAGAAUUCAGUUAAUCAUCGAAUCUUUGAACGCACAUUGCGCCCGCCAGCAUUCUGGCGGGCAUGCCUGUUCGAGCGUCAUUUCAACCCUCGAGCCCCCCCGGGGGCCUCGGUGUUGGGGGACGGCACACCAGCCGCCCCCGAAAUGCAGUGGCGACCUCGCCGCAGCCUCCCCUGCGUAGUAGCACACACCUCGCACCGGAGCGCGGAGACGGUCACGCCGUAAAACGCCCAACUUCUUAGAGUUGACCUCGGAUCAGGUAGGAAUACCCGCUGAACUUAAGCAUAUCAAUAAGCGGAGGA
RNAcentral lists this unclassified non-coding RNA (342 nucleotides) under soil metagenome. Its description in RNAcentral is "partial contains 5.8S ribosomal RNA, internal transcribed spacer 2, and large subunit ribosomal RNA". The stretch from base 1 to 120 matches the Rfam family "5.8S ribosomal RNA", at positions 35 to 154 of the family's 154-position model. The record is from RNAcentral.